Molecule: long non-coding RNA, 1134 nt
Organism: Phasianus colchicus (ring-necked pheasant)
Lineage: Eukaryota; Metazoa; Chordata; Aves; Galliformes; Phasianidae
Source: RefSeq, a predicted model, not a curated record
UCCUUAUUGCUUUAAAGACACAUCUCUGUUGCUGAGAUUUUUAUUUUUUUAUUUUUUUCUUUUCAGAACUGUGUCUUACAACUUAAGUCAGGCGCAAUGAAAGUUGAACUACACAAAUACUCUGUCCUGGUACUUCCAGAAUUUCCGCAGUCUUUGUAUCUGGCCAUGGGCCAGUCAUUUUUCUUUUGUACAGGAUGAUGACUUAUCUUCCCUCAUUCUGACACUAACACCAUUGAAAUGCCUCCUCCUUUAUCUCCAAGUUUGCCAGCAGAAGCUACCACCUGCAGCACCUUCGUAUGCCAGUGUGAAGCAGCCACAUCUUCAUCCACCAUGUGAUGGCCAGUUUGUGCCUCUGUCAUUUUGGGAUAACACCCUGUGAUUUGCUGAUGCAACUGAGACUGUGCUGAAAGCUGGAUUAGUUUCCUGAAUGCAUUCCAGAUGAAAUGUCACUUUGGUAAUGGAUUUGAAGAAUGAAGAAGACUCAUCUGAAAGAAGUUGGUUGUUUUCUUCUUUUGUUGAUGAGAACCAGGUGUUAAAUGCAUAAUGAGGCAGCACGUAGGUCUGAAAUAAUUUUCUAUUUAUGGUAAUUCUGAGAGCAUGGAACUCAGUAUUUUACCAGUGCCUACAAACUGCUGAAUUAUUUCCCCUGCCUUUUACUAUUCAGGAUGAAAUAACACAUUUCUAUCAAAGUUUCCCAAUGAAACCUCAAUAACUUUGUACUAUCCUUUACAUUUGUGAUUAAUAACAGAACAACAUGAUUUAGAAACAAAAAACCAUCUGUCUCAAACAUGACUUCUUUGUAACCUUAACAGCAUUGAAAAUAGUUAAAAUAGAUGCUGCAAGCUUACCAAGGUAACCACUUUGAAGGGAAAAGGCUUCACAAAUAAUGAGUGAAUGCUGUACCUGCUUUUAAAGUUGGAGAAACUUCUUGUCUGUGUGCCCCUUUAGAAGCUCUGCAGUCUUCUAUCCUCUCACAGAUGAUACAGAGUCAGCAUGUUGUGAUGAGCUCACCAGAAGCUCCUGAAUUUGUCACAUGAUGUGUAGAGCUUUAUGUAUUUUUCUUGCUAAGGUGGGACCAGAAUUUUGGAAAAGUCUGACUGCAACAGCCAUGUCAUUGUAGAUUAUGUAGAAAAU